GAUGAAGAACGUAGCGAAAUGCGAUAAGUAGUGUGAAUUGCAGAAUUCAGUGAAUCAUCGAAUCUUUGAACGCACAUUGCGCCCCUUGGUAUUCCAUGGGGCAUGCCUGUUCGAGCGUCAUUUGUACCUUCAAGCUCUGCUUGGUGUUGGGUGUUUGUCUCGCCUCUGCGUGUAGACUCGCCUCAAAACAAUUGGCAGCCGGCGUAUUGAUUUCGGAGCGCAGUACGUCUCGCGCUUUGCACUCAUAACGACGACGUCCAAAAGUACAUUUUUACACUCUUGACCUCGGAUCAGGUAGGGAUACCAGCUGAACUUAAGCAUAUCAAUAAGCGGAGGA
This 337-nucleotide unclassified non-coding RNA is filed under the name soil metagenome. Its description in RNAcentral is "partial contains 5.8S ribosomal RNA, internal transcribed spacer 2, and large subunit ribosomal RNA". The stretch from base 1 to 120 matches the Rfam family "5.8S ribosomal RNA", at positions 35 to 154 of the family's 154-position model. The record is from RNAcentral.